Molecule: ribosomal RNA, 301 nt
Filed under: uncultured bacterium
Lineage: Bacteria
Description: bacterial SSU rRNA
Rfam family: Bacterial small subunit ribosomal RNA
Source: RNAcentral
GUGGCAGCCGCCGCGGUAAUACGUAGGGGGCGAGCGUUGCUCGGAAUUACUGGGCGUAAAGGGUGUGUAGGCGGCUGAGCAAGUCAAAGAUGAAAUCCCGAGGCUUAACUUCGGAACUGUUUUUGAUACUGUUCAGCUUGAGGAUAGUCGAGGAGAAUGGAAUUCCCGGUGGAGCAGUGGAAUGCGUAGAUAUCGGGAGGAACACCAGAGGCGAAGGCGAUUCUCUAUGCUAAUCCUGACGCUGAAACACGAAAGGCAGGGGAGCAAACGGGAAUAGAAACCCCGGUAGUCCUAGGUGUAA